CCAAUAGCGUAUAUUAAAGUUGUUGCAGUUAAAAAGCUCGUAGUUGAAUUUUGGGGUUAGUAGGUUGGUUAUGCCUCUGGUAUGCACUGGUCUCACUGAUUCCUCCUUCCUGAUGAACCGUAAUGCCAUUAAUUUGGUGUUGCGGGGAGACUGGACUGUUACUUUGAAAAAAUUAGAGUGUUUAAAGCAGGCUAACGCUUGAAUACAUUAGCAUGGAAUAAUGAAAUAGGACGUUCGAUCCUAUUUUGUUGGUUUCUAGGAUUGACGUAAUGAUUAAUAGGGAUAGUUGGGGGCAUUAGUAUUCAAUUGUCAGAGGUGAAAUUCUUGGAUUUAUUGAAGACUAACUACUGCGAAAGCAUUUGCCAAGGAUGUUUUCAUUAAUCAAGAACGAAAGUUAGGGGAUCGAAGACGAUCAGAUACCGUCGUAGUCUUAACCAUAAACUAUGCCGACUAGGGAUCGGAUGAUGUUAAUUUUUUAAUGACUCAUUCGGCGCCUUACG
Molecule: ribosomal RNA, 500 nt
Filed under: uncultured Glomeromycotina
Lineage: Eukaryota; Fungi; Glomeromycota
Description: partial small subunit ribosomal RNA
Rfam family: Eukaryotic small subunit ribosomal RNA
Source: RNAcentral